UGGAGUAGCCCACGUAAUUUUUUAUAAUAGAGCGCCCUUUUUGAGAUUUUAAACUGGACUCCAAGUUCAUACAGGGGAGUGGGUCAAGCAUCGAUUUUAUCUUUUUAAUUGCCGCUAGAAUGAGGGCAUUCCUUUCAGACCUUUGAGAACCAAUCUUGGUUUGGGGAAUAGGUCCAAGAUGAAAUAAAGAAUUACGAAAGGCCCCACCGGAUGGACCUGCGCUUAUUUGCUCAACACGAGAAAUUACCAGUCCCGACAUAUUAGGAUUGCAGAUGAUAGUCUUUCUGAUUCUAGGGUGGGGUGCAUGCCGUUCUUAGUGGUGGAGUGAUUUGUCUGGUUAAUUCCGAUACGAACGAGACCUUAAACAUGCUAACUAGAUCGAUCAUCUUAUGGUCGUAAUCUUCUUAGAGGGACUAUGUAACAAGAGGGGGGGGGGGGUUUGAGGCAAUAACAAAAAAAAAGGUGCCCUUAUAUGUCCUGGGGGGGGGGGGGGGAAAAACUGAUGUAUACAACAAGUGCCUAGUCAGACAUGGCAUGGCAAUCUCGAAUAUGCAUCGUGAGUGAGGGUAGAUCUUUGCAAUUAUAGAUCUUGAACGAGGAAUUCCUAGUAAGUGCAAGUCAUCAUCUUGCAUUGAUUAUGUCCCUGCCCUUUGUACACACCGCCCGUCGUUCCUUCCGAUACCAAAGAUCCGGUGAACCUUUUGGACCCGCAAGGGGAGGUUUUUCACCCAUUCACGAUCUAUCUGAUCCUCAUUUUUGAGCUCC
RNAcentral lists this ribosomal RNA (765 nucleotides) under uncultured rumen protozoa. RNAcentral describes it as "partial 18S ribosomal RNA". The stretch from base 165 to 765 matches the Rfam family "Eukaryotic small subunit ribosomal RNA", at positions 1117 to 1778 of the family's 1831-position model. The record is from RNAcentral.